ACCAGAUCCACAGCUGCCAGCACCCAAUUAACCUUAUAAUUAACCUUAGAGAGCAGUGCUGGAGUCGUUAACGUCCGUCCACCCCCUGGGACAUGAACCAGACCUGCAGAGAGGGACAGAGCUGGAUCUGCUGUUACCUCCUCAGCCCUGUCCGAGUCCAAUGGGCUUCCUUUGCUCAUAGAAUCACAGCGUGUUUGGGCAGGGAACUGAACGGAUCCAUGGAACAAAAAGGAAACCUUCCGAGUGACGCUGCGGGACGUGGGCAGUGUGCACGGCCGGGGAUGGGCUGGCGGUGCUGAUCUGAGCGCUCUCCUCCAACCUUCGUGUCUCUGUGAUGACAAAAAGCAGCUGAACUCUCACAGCCGACCCGGGCACAUCCCUGUGCUCUGCCCUCUUGCACAGAACUGCUGCUCUGUGCUGAGUGCUGCUGCACUUCCGAGCAGCCCGAGUCGGAAUGGAGACAUUUUUCCUCUUUAAGAACCAAGACAUAAAAUAAAGACAACCCAACGUCCUCUGCUUUUUCACCCGGGAGAGGGCUGUCCUGCUCUGCCCUCGAGAUGUCCGUAGCCCUCGGAGCACUGCAGUAAGGCCGUGGCUAUAACUUAGCCUCAGCCUCAUCCCUCCAUCCGCAGUCAAGGAGAAGUGUGUACUUGGAGCACAUCUGGCCAGCUGUGCUUGGGGGCUGUGAGGCGGCAGUGGGGGCUGAUCCUCCUUCCCCAGCCCUGCUCCCUGCCAACCCUCCCGCAAACACUUGAUCUCAUCAGCAGAUUUGGGACCGGGAAGGAAUUUUCCAUAUGUCAAUCUGGCAGGAACUACAGAGAUUUUUGCUUUCCUCUGUAUCAUGGAGUGGAAAACAUCUGGGCAUAUCAAUUACCCAUGACUGCAUGAGGCACGAGCACCAGGAGUGCCUCGGGC
Gallus gallus (chicken) is the source of this 915-nucleotide long non-coding RNA. Lineage: Eukaryota; Metazoa; Chordata; Aves; Galliformes; Phasianidae. The record is from Ensembl.